GAAUAUUGGACAAUGGGCGCAAGCCUGAUCCAGCCAUGCCGCGUGCAGGAUGACGGUCCUAUGGAUUGUAAACUGCUUUUAUACAGGAAGAAACCCUACUACGUGUAGUAGAUUGACGGUACUGUAGGAAUAAGGAUCGGCUAACUCCGUACCAGCAGCCGCGGUAAUACGGAGGAUCCAAGCGUUAUCCGGAAUCAUUGGGUUUAAAGGGUCCGUAGGCGGUCUUAUAAGUCAGUGGUGAAAUCCGGCAGCUCAACUGUCGAACUGCCAUUGAUACUGUAAGACUUGAAUUACUGUGAAGUAACUAGAAUAUGUAGUGUAGCGGUGAAAUGCUUAGAUAUUACAUGGAAUACCAAUUGCGAAGGCAGGUUACUAACAUUAUAUUGACGCUGAUGGACGAAAGCGUGGGUAGCGAACAG
RNAcentral lists this ribosomal RNA (419 nucleotides) under uncultured bacterium. RNAcentral describes it as "bacterial SSU rRNA". It matches the Rfam family "Bacterial small subunit ribosomal RNA", at positions 359 to 775 of the family's 1533-position model. The record is from RNAcentral.